This 301-nucleotide ribosomal RNA is filed under the name uncultured bacterium. RNAcentral's name for it is "partial 16S ribosomal RNA". It matches the Rfam family "Bacterial small subunit ribosomal RNA", at positions 509 to 809 of the family's 1533-position model. The record is from RNAcentral.
CAGUCGCCGCGGUAACACGAAGGGUGCAAGCGUUACUCGGAAUUACUGGGCGUAAAGCGUGCGUAGGUGGUGGUUUAAGUCCGUUGUGAAAGCCCUGGGCUCAACCUGGGAAUUGCAGUGGAUACUGGGUCACUAGAGUGUGGUAGAGGAUAGUGGAAUUUCCGGUGUAGCAGUGAAAUGCGUAGAGAUCGGAAGGAACAUCUGUGGCGAAGGCGACUAUCUGGGCCAACACUGACACUGAGGCACGAAAGCGUGGGGAGCAAACAGGAUUAGAUACCCCUGUAGUCCCUGUCUCUUAUAA